Molecule: unclassified non-coding RNA, 383 nt
Filed under: Hevea brasiliensis (rubber tree)
Lineage: Eukaryota; Viridiplantae; Streptophyta; Magnoliopsida; Malpighiales; Euphorbiaceae
Source: RNAcentral
GUUUUAUUCUAAACCCGGUAUUAGGCAAAAAUUGAGCAACUUGGAGUUUGAGUUUACUUAUAUCAAUUUUGACACUUGAAACACGUCUGGAAUGUCUUGAAAUACUAGGAUCGACUAUAAUAUUGGCCAUGUUUCAGGACAGGUCGCCGAUCAAUCGAAUCUGGCAAAAAACUUUGUCCUGGGAGUCGGUGAGUUAUCAUUGAUCCGAUUGUACCAAAUGAUCUGGACCGUUCGAUGAUUGCCUUUUUCAAACAGUGCUCAAUCGGAGCGGGGCUAGUCCCAUCUCAAAGAUUUCAUUGCCCUGAGUCUAACGGUGGUCUUGGAUCAUUGAUACAACGGUCAGAUCAUCCUAGAUCUGACCGAAAAGCUAAAAAAACUCAAAG